GGAGAGGUAUCGAAGUGGUCAUAACGGGGCUGACUCGAAAUCAGUUUGCGCGCAAGCGCACGCGGGUUCGAAUCCCGCCCUCUCCGCCA
Molecule: transfer RNA, 89 nt
Filed under: Clostridiales bacterium
Lineage: Bacteria; Bacillati; Bacillota; Clostridia; Eubacteriales
Also listed under: 1 other name
Description: tRNA-Ser
Rfam family: tRNA
About the family: Transfer RNA (tRNA) molecules are approximately 80 nucleotides in length.
Source: RNAcentral